This is a non-coding RNA of Arachis ipaensis, 195 nucleotides long. Lineage: Eukaryota; Viridiplantae; Streptophyta; Magnoliopsida; Fabales; Fabaceae. The record is from RefSeq and is a predicted model, not a curated record.
CUUCUUGCUUCUCCAAUGACAAUUGAUUUUGAGGAGCUUAUUGAAGAGUUUGAGAAACUUGAAUUAGAAAUUGCACCAACCGGAGAAGAUGAUGAUGAGUUUGGUGUGGAUUCAGAUUAAGCAUGGUGGCUGUUUGGUUUUUAUUUGUUUUAAAGUGACUGUUUCGGUUUAAAGUGUGUUUAUUUUUGUUGUUUU